RNAcentral lists this ribosomal RNA (250 nucleotides) under uncultured bacterium. RNAcentral's name for it is "partial 16S ribosomal RNA". It matches the Rfam family "Bacterial small subunit ribosomal RNA", at positions 87 to 339 of the family's 1533-position model. The record is from RNAcentral.
GCUGACGAGUGGCGGACGGGUGAGUAACGCGUAGGAAUCUACCUAGUAGAAGGGGAUAGCCCGAGGAAACUCGGAUUAAUACCGUAUACCUCCUUUGGGAGAAAGAAGGCCUCUCUUUGAAGCUUUCGCUACUAGAUGAGCCUGCGUAAGAUUAGCUUGUUGGUGAGGUAAAGGCUCACCAAGGCGACGAUCUUUAGCGGGUCUGAGAGGACGAUCCGCCACAUUGGGACUGAGACACGGCCCAGACUCC